This 505-nucleotide ribosomal RNA is filed under the name uncultured bacterium. Its description in RNAcentral is "bacterial SSU rRNA". It matches the Rfam family "Bacterial small subunit ribosomal RNA", at positions 51 to 557 of the family's 1533-position model. The record is from RNAcentral.
ACACAUGCAAGUCGAACGGGAAACAUUUCAUUGAGGCUUCGGCGGAUUUGGUCUGUUUCUAGUGGCGGACGGGUGAGUAACGCGUGGGUAACCUGCCUUAUACUGGGGGAUAACAGCCAGAAAUGACUGCUAAUACCGCAUAAGCGCACGGGGCCGCAUGGUCCUGUGUGAAAAACUCCGGUGGUAUAAGAUGGACCCGCGUUGGAUUAGCUAGUUGGCAGGGCAAUGGCCUACCAAGGCGACGAUCCAUAGCCGGCCUGAGAGGGUGAACGGCCACAUUGGGACUGAGACACGGCCCAGACUCCUACGGGAGGCAGCAGUGGGGAAUAUUGCACAAUGGGGGAAACCCUGAUGCAGCGACGCCGCGUGAAGGAAGAAGUAUCUCGGUAUGUAAACUUCUAUCAGCAGGGAAGAUAAUGACGGUACCUGACUAAGAAGCCCCGGCUAACUACGUGCCAGCAGCCGCGGUAAUACGUAGGGGGCGAGCGUUAUCCGGAUUUACUGG